GCCAUAGCUUAGCAGCAGAGCAUCUGCUUUGCAUGCAGAAGGUCCUGGGUUCAAUCCCCAGCAUCUGUG
This 69-nucleotide transfer RNA is filed under the name Podarcis lilfordi (Lilford's wall lizard). RNAcentral's name for it is "tRNA.Ala". The stretch from base 5 to 61 matches the Rfam family "tRNA", at positions 8 to 63 of the family's 71-position model. Rfam says of the family: Transfer RNA (tRNA) molecules are approximately 80 nucleotides in length. Their secondary structure includes four short double-helical elements and three loops (D, anti-codon, and T loops). Further hydrogen bonds mediate the characteristic L-shaped molecular structure. tRNAs have two regions of fundamental functional importance: the anti-codon, which is responsible for specific mRNA codon recognition, and the 3' end, to which the tRNAs corresponding amino acid is attached (by aminoacyl-tRNA synthetases). tRNAs cope with the degeneracy of the genetic code in two manners: having more than one tRNA (with a specific anti-codon) for a particular amino acid; and 'wobble' base-pairing, i.e. permitting non-standard base-pairing at the 3rd anti-codon position. Lineage: Eukaryota; Metazoa; Chordata; Lepidosauria; Squamata; Lacertidae. The record is from RNAcentral.